Molecule: long non-coding RNA, 2956 nt
Filed under: Hordeum vulgare
Lineage: Eukaryota; Viridiplantae; Streptophyta; Magnoliopsida; Poales; Poaceae
Description: long non-coding RNA (HVUL_LNC018875)
Source: RNAcentral
GUUACGGGCUUAGCCCAAGUUAUCUUAGCUAUCUUAAGAGUCCAAGUUAUAUUAUAGUCCAAGUUAUAUUAUAGUCCAAGUUAUCUAGGGUUUAGUGGAGGCUGUCCUCCUAUAUAAACACAUGUACCCCUUUGAUAUUAAACAGACAAUAAUCAGUAUUCUGUUGUCGUCUCCCUCAGGAGACGGGAGCCCCAAACCCUAGCCGCCUCUCUCUCUCUCACGCCGCGACGGUGCCCAACCGCCGGCGCCGGCGUUCCCGGCCUCGCCGCCCGCACUUCCACCCCUACAACCUAUGUCCGAGACCUGUAGAACCCUAGCCUCUACCAUGGCUCUAAGGUUUGGAUUACUUCUUACACAGAGGAUGGGAUGCAACCGGCUUAUUAUUAACUCCGACAAUAUAGAAGUCAUUAAUACAAUGAAAAAUGGAGGACAAUCGGCGGGAGCAGUCUUCGAUGACUGCUAUUUUUUGGCUUGUGAUUUUCCUCUUACUAGAUUUGAACAUUGUAAUAGAGAAGCAAAUAAGGUGGCUCAUGAACUUGCUAGGAUAGCGAAAUUUUCCGUCACAAAGGAUUGUUUUGAGGAGCCCUUGGAUGAAAUUGUAAAUUUGCUUAUUGACGAUGUAACUGUUAUUCCCAAUUAAUAAAGUUAACGGUUUAUUUCAAAAAAAAAAACUCAAAUGCCAUACUAGAGAUGACAUUUUUUGCGGAACAUGGAUGGUACUUGGCAGGAGGUACAAAGGAGUGAAAAGCAAAUUGUAAAUAGUCAACAGCUCAUGUUCUAUGCUUACGAGAAUUCCCAGAUGGCCCGUUCUUACCAACGUUUCUAACUUUAUGUAAGUAAUAAUUCAUAUAAUCAAACAUCCAAUCUUGUUCAUUCUUUGUUAGAUGAGCCUAAGCUAACUGGUUUCAGUCUGAGCGAAUUUCAUGCAUCCCUAUCAAAUACCGAACGGUGGAGCAGUACAAGUAUAUAACACAACCAAGUACAAUACCAUAACGAUGUACUCCCUCCGUUCCUAAAUAUAAGUCAUACAGAGCAAAAUGGAUGAAUCUACACUUUAAAAUUUGUCUAUAUACAUCCGUAUGUGGUCCAUAAUGAAAUAUCUAAAAAGACUUAUGUUAAGAAACGGAGGGAGUAGAACUUACUGUAGAAUGGACACCAUCAGCCCAGCUCCCAAACCGCCAUUUCUGCACAACCAGCUUCCCUUCCUGCAGCUCCUCAUUAACACCUGUGAUGGACCCAUCAAAGAGGCUAAACUGCCCACCAACAUCCUUGCUGAUCCUCGCAUUGCUCUGUGUGAAACCCUUCCAUCUGUUCUCAUCCAUCAAGAUCUCAUAGAUGUCCUUGGAGCGGCAGUUGAACUUCUCCGUCAUCUCAAUAGUCUUGAAUCCUUCCUUAUCCUUGCCAUUCGCCUUCUUCUCCUUAGCUGCUGGCGCAUGCACUGGAGCUGCUGUCACAUUCACUGAAGGAGCGGGAGCAACAGCUGCGCCACCGGCCGCUGGGGCAGCCUUGGUGGAUAGCUUCUUAGAAUCUAUCUCGUCCUUUGCGGGGCCACCAUUCGCCAUGGCGGCGACAUACUCCCGGAUCUUGGCAAUGACCAGAGGCUUGCCAUGGGCGAUGAAGGCAUCCUUGGCCCGGCGCGCGAAGGGGCCGUCGUCACCGCGAACGGUGAUGCGGAGUUCGGGAUCCUCGUCGGCGUUCUCGUCAGCGAGGUAGGGUAACUCAACUGUACCAGUGACCUUGGCGACCCCCGACUCGGAUGCGGCAUCGGCCUCCCAGGCGAGCGUGAGGGAAAGCUCGUACCCUGGGAUAACCUUGCCCUUGCGGAUGUUGACGUAGGCCUCGCCAUCAAGCUUGUCGAGGGUGGUGGUGCGGAGGGUGAGGCCGCCCUCCCCGGAGAGGACGGGGAGGCCCGCGAGGAGCGCGGAGAGACGCGCGCGAGACCAUUCGAGACAGUCGCGCUCCGCCCAGUGCCAGUUGUGGACGUUGGCACCGUCGGCGCGCUCCUGCACGAUCCACCGUGCGUCGCCCUCGCCGAACUUCGCCAUGGUUNNNNNNNNNNNNNNNNNNNNNNNNNNNNNNNNNNNNNNNNNNNNNNNNNNNNNNNNNNNNNNNNNNNNNNNNNNNNNNNNNNNNNNNNNNNNNNNNNNNNGAAAAUAAACUAGUGCAAUCUCUACACGCAAAAAUACCAGUAACUGCUCUAAAAUACAUGGAAAAGUGGUUCCUAAAACAUGAAUAUUUCUACUACGGCAUUCGAGCAAUUCGAACACGCGCGGAAAAUAAAUGCGGGCACUUUCCUAUUGAGACAGCACGUAAAUCCAUGCAUACGGCACGCUAAACGACGUCAACCAAAUAUGCAAGUUGCACCAACGUAAUCUACGCGCAAAACUACACGAAAACCAUAUACUACACGUCGCGAUCCGACUUACGGACGAUCUAAUAUACGUAUACUUUCUCGAAUUUAUGAUAAUUCCGAAAAAUCCCUAAAAAGAAAAAUAACUAUCGGGCCUAAUCUAUUCACUAAUGGGCUACACAUGCAUGGACGCAGAUUAGCUAAAACGUGCACGAGCGUCAAAUAGAGGGCUCAGGGGGGAAUCAGCUCACCUUGCUUGGGCCGGCGUGGAGGUGGGCCUUGGGGUCGGUCUGGUGGGGAGGAGAAGCUGGGCCGAGGCGGUAGGAGGCCGGCCUGGGCUGCUGGGGCGCUCUGGGCCGCCGCUGGCCUGCUGGAGCUGGGCCUAGGCCAGCGCCUGGGCCGGACGGGGCAGAUCGGCCCCAGCCUGGCGCGCGGCACAGGAGUCUCGCGCGAGCUGCUCGCAAAAGGGAGCCAUGGCGGCGCUACAGGAGGACUCAGCGAGGCCGGCGGACGCAGGGAGAUUGGAACCGGUGGGGGCUCGCCGGAUGGAGCCGGCCCCAUGGAUUGCUGCGGGACAGAGAGAGGAAGAAGAAGUGAGAGAGAGAG